This is a non-coding RNA of Macaca mulatta (Rhesus monkey), 440 nucleotides long. NCBI's taxonomy places the organism in Eukaryota, Metazoa, Chordata, Mammalia, Primates, Cercopithecidae. The record is from RefSeq and is a predicted model, not a curated record.
GGGAGGAGAGUAUGUAAAAGUGAUCCAGGAAGUAAAGGAGCAAGCUCAGGGUUCGCGUCUGCUUCACAUUUUGAGAAAUAAUGUUUUAAGUGGAUCCUGAACAAUUCUGUGGGAGAGGACAGAAUAGGUGGUAAGACUGUAAUUCCAGAGAGGAUCCUGCCACAUAUGCAGAAGGAAGGAACGCCGCUCGGAGAGGCCAAGAAGAAUCCGGACAGACGGGCCCUGCGGAGUCCCCUCUCGGCCUAUCAGCAUUAGAUCACAUCCUCCUUGUCCAAACGUGUCUCCACACAGCUGUCCGCCCUGUGUUGAACCUAAGCAUAAACACUUGCAGCUUCUCUUGUGUUUUUGGUUCUUCAUUCUGAAGGCUCCUAUGUCUCAUCAAACUAUGAUCAAAUACAUCUGUACGCUUUUUCUCCUAAAAGAAUAAAAACAAAAACAUG